CCGCGGAGCCAGCGUGCGGGAGUGUGUCUUUGUUUUGCCCACUUGAAGAAUAUCUUGGGUUUCUUUAGGGACCUCGAGGCAACAGGUGGCUGAAAAACAAAAGCCCCCGAGAGUCCGCAGGGUGGAGGGAAGGUAUUUGCGGUAACACAGCACACUGCUUGUGCUGUUGAGCAGCUGCAGCUGACGAGCUGGACAGAGCAGCGAUGAAACACACCCCGUACCCCGCUUGCCAGUGAGGUCCAGGAUGGAGCAGCAGGAAGACAGGGUGCACGGAGACAUCAAGUUUUCUGAAUUUCGUGACCGGGUCUUUAUUUCUGCAGCCUCCACAUCUCUCCCCACAUUGUCAGCCUCUCAUUCAUCCUGGAAGAAAGAGCACAGUCUCACAAGUCUCU
Molecule: long non-coding RNA, 392 nt
Filed under: Cavia porcellus (domestic guinea pig)
Lineage: Eukaryota; Metazoa; Chordata; Mammalia; Rodentia; Caviidae
Description: lncRNA (ENSCPOG00000033457.1)
Source: RNAcentral